Molecule: long non-coding RNA, 2783 nt
Organism: Capsicum annuum
Lineage: Eukaryota; Viridiplantae; Streptophyta; Magnoliopsida; Solanales; Solanaceae
Exons: 2
Source: RefSeq, a predicted model, not a curated record
AUUUUUUGCUACCAAUGAGUACAUUGCUCCUGUUAACCUGGUUUGCAAUUUCAGUUAACAUUGAAUGUUGAUAGAUGGUAACAAACUAUUGUUGCUUCUUUAAGACCAUGGAUUUGGAUUACAUUUGUCUUGAUUAAUGUUGAGGUCGGUCAGGUUGUGUUUUACAAUAAAAAAAUAAAAAAAAUAUAGAGGUGUGAGGGAGCCAUUUACAAGUGGAGAUUUUUGGGAGUGGAUUUUCGGAUAAACAUCACGGAAGAAUCUUUCACAUGUUUGCUUUGAGAAUUUAGGAGUUACGAAGAUAUGCUAUUUUUUGUAUGUAGAAAAAAUGGAAAAUAGUGAGUUAUGAAGAAGAAGAUGAUGCUAUUUUUUGGAUGUAAAAAUAAUGGAAACUGGUAGAGUUAUGGAGAAGAUGAUGUUUUUUUUUUCUUUUUAAUUCUUUAAUAUGCCUUUUUUUAAUUGGUUCGAUUUUUUAUGUUUAAUUUUUUUUUAUUUUAUGAAUUAUCGUCUCUCACUCUCCUACUUGAGAGUAUAUUAGACAUGCCACGCCAUGUCAGCGCCACAUUAGCAAUUGUGUUCAAUUGAAAUGUUUUAUGAAGGAGUAAAGGAUUCAAUAGGUACCUGACCUAAUUGAGGUACCUAUACGAAAAAAGUCGAAUAUUUGAGGGGUCUGUAUAUGUAUUUAGCCUUAAUAUUAAGUAAUGAAUAUUUAAAGGUUAACAUAGAGGAAAAGAGUUGCUAAUAAUUAUCCUUUGAACAGUCUAGCUUUCCAAGAAUAAUUCUAAACAACGUUUUAAGGCGACUAAUCCUUGGUCUAAUUAAACUCAUUAAUGGAGAGAAAAAACCUGGACUUUUCGGUGAGUCAUUACACUAUCUUCUUAGAAAAUUACAGUAUUAACCAUUAGAUCAUUUAAUUUACAAGAUAUUUACGCACAAAGUAUAUAGGGAGUGCUUACUUUAUAUAAAAUAUUUAUAAGCUAUACAUAUAAUAUACAUACCUAUACUCAAUAUAUACAUGGAUUGGCCUAAGGAUAUAUAUCUGUAGCUUUCUGAUAUAUAUCCAAACACAGUCUUGAUUGUCGUUGUAGUCAGCAUAAUAUCCAAAUUGGACAAAAGGAAGUUAUAGAAAGAACUUAUUUUUCCUUUUCUCUUUACGUUCUUUCAAACCUUAUCCUUGCACUGUUGGAGUUGGUGAUUAUCAUUAUACAAAUUCCAUAUGCAUUUGACUUUUUGGUUGUAUUUUAUGCUUCUGCAUUUAGUCUAAUUCUUUUAACCAUUCAUUAUACCUGGAUUUACUUCUCUAAUCUAGAUUACCAAACAACUCUUUAAUAUAUGCACAAAAUUUAGUUACAACUUUUACUUCAAGAGCCAAUACUGAGCAGGUAAUUAGAAACUCUUUUUUGUCUUUUUUUUUGUACCAACUGUAAAUGAUUACCAUAACAAACCAAUUCAGUACAAGUAAAGAUGUAACACCCGCACUUUCGGAUUAAAGUUUGAACCUUCUUUUCUACACGUAUAGAUCCGAACCUAAUGAUUCUUUGUUAAUAUAUUUGUGAUAAUCAAUCCUAUAGUGUUUGAAUACCUUUGACUAUGAAUUGAGGUCAUAAAAUCUCCCAACUCAAAGACGAGUUGAAAACUUCCUAUCGAUUAAGUUUUAGUGAACUUCUAAACUUGGGUAUACUUCUAUCGACCAUAACAUUUUGUAUAUAAAGAAGUAGGGGGCCUACUAUAUAUCAAAUGAAGGGCCUUUGAGUCCUCUUUCCAACGCCACCGAUUUCGCCUUAAUCCGAUAUCAAAAAAAAAAUUAUGCCCGUUUUCCAGAGAUGUGUCAGUCGAGUCUGAAUCGCGCAAAAAGUAAGCUUUUAUCGGGGUAUUUUGGUAUUUUUCCUUCCCAGAAACCUCUCACACUAAUUAAAUAACACCCUAAGCGUUAUUUAUUAAACUAUUAUAAGUUUUACAAUAUAUCAAAUUCUCUUCACUCUCAAGAAUAACAAGAUCAAAUUAAAUUAAGUUUCCUCCAAGAACAAAAAAUCAAGAAUCUAAUCCUUUCAAUUCAAGAUUCUCAAGAAACGAGUCAAGAUUCGGGUCCUAUUCUUCAACCUAAGUAAUCUAAGGAUUCUGAGAUACAGUCCCGGGGUACCGUUAAGCAGUAGAAUGACUUGUCAGAAGUUUGCAGCUGGUGAGCCUCUCUUACUUCGGAAGGCCUGAUUAUGAAACUUUUCAUUGUUAUUUUAUUUUGAUUCAUGGUCCGACUCAGGGUCUUGUCCCAGAUUUCAAACAGAUGUCAUUUUCAGUUGUUAGAGAUUUCGCAUACUAGUGUUAGGUGUUUUGAAUGUUUUAUUAACUCAUUUUUUUUAAUUGUUCAGUUAAAGAAAAAGAUAGUGACCAUGUUUCCGUCUUGUGUUGUUUUUCCGCUAAUUUAUUAUAUUGUAUGAAUGUUGUGCAUGAUUACCGGAUAGAGAAGGGGCGCCCGGACCUUCAUAGUUCGGGAUGCUCGUUACGGCCAGGGCACCGGCUUGGAUCGUGACAAAUGAGCACCUCAUCUAUGCGACAGGUACAAGGCCUCCAACAAACAAAUCAGAAAAAACAGACCACUAAACUAUACUAAUUGUCUAACUGUUCGAAUCCACACCCUACACUGUUGUGCUCUCUUUGAACUGUUAUACAUAUUAAUCCUCUCCACUGAUUUCUUCUUGAUCAAUGUAGCUGCCUUUGUUGUAUGUACAGUUUUACCUUUAUACCUUCUUCAGUUUCUAGCGCUCCAAGAGUGAUCGAUUAUUGAUCCA